GUGGGGAAUAUUGGACAAUGGGCGAAAGCCUGAUCCAGCCAUGCCGCGUGUGUGAAGAAGGUCUUCGGAUUGUAAAGCACUUUAAGUUGGGAGGAAGGGCAGUAAGUUAAUACCUUGCUGUUUUGACGUUACCGACAGAAUAAGCACCGGCUAACUUCGUGCCAGCAGCCGCGGUAAUACGAAGGGUGCAAGCGUUAAUCGGAAUUACUGGGCGUAAAGCGCGCGUAGGUGGUUUUGUAAGUUGGAGGUGAAAUCCCCGGGCUCAACCUGGGAACUGCCUCCAAAACUGCAUGACUAGAGUACGGUAGAGGGUAGUGGAAUUUCCUGUGUAGUGGUGAAAUGCGUAGAUAUAGGAAGGAACACCAGUGGCGAAGGCGACUACCUGGACUGAUACUGACACUGAGGUGCGAAAGCGUGGGGAGCAAACAGGAUUAGAUACCCGGGUAGUCC
RNAcentral lists this ribosomal RNA (450 nucleotides) under uncultured bacterium. Its description in RNAcentral is "partial 16S ribosomal RNA". It matches the Rfam family "Bacterial small subunit ribosomal RNA", at positions 354 to 796 of the family's 1533-position model. The record is from RNAcentral.